GUUCGCAUGAAGGGCUUUCACAUCCCUAAAGACUAUGCAAUGGAGUACUUUCCCCCACUUGCCGGUGUGAACUCAUCUGGAGGAUAUGAAAAUGGGAAUAAGUCCAUCGAAUUAACCUUCUUCGACAGGCACUGUCAUCCAUGGACUUUUCGGUAUUCUUAUUGAAAAAGUACUCGGACAUUUGUGUUUACAAAAGGCUGGAGA
This 204-nucleotide unclassified non-coding RNA is filed under the name Hevea brasiliensis (rubber tree). Lineage: Eukaryota; Viridiplantae; Streptophyta; Magnoliopsida; Malpighiales; Euphorbiaceae. The record is from RNAcentral.